AGCGAGCCGGCGAGCGACCGAGGUAAAGGUAUCGCGCCUUAGUCAGAGGCCACCAAAGUUGGAUUUCGUUUUGUAGUAAAGUACCCUAUGAUCAUCUUUUGUAUUUGAUGAUUCUGAAUGUUAAUGUAUAAGACAAAGAAAAGGAUGUAAUGUGUAUUUUGAGGUAAAAGUGAUGUAAGAAAGAAAUGAUGGAGUGAUGUAAUGAAAUGCAAAGAAUCCAAAAUGUAAGUUAUGAAAGCAUGUAU
RNAcentral lists this long non-coding RNA (245 nucleotides) under Ananas comosus (pineapple). RNAcentral's name for it is "long non-coding RNA (ACOM_LNC035399)". Lineage: Eukaryota; Viridiplantae; Streptophyta; Magnoliopsida; Poales; Bromeliaceae. The record is from RNAcentral.